Toxorhynchites rutilus septentrionalis is the source of this 136-nucleotide small nuclear RNA. RefSeq annotates it as U4 spliceosomal RNA. The record is from RefSeq and is a predicted model, not a curated record. The transcript has a single exon. Lineage: Eukaryota; Metazoa; Arthropoda; Insecta; Diptera; Culicidae.
AGCUUUGCGCAGUGGCGAUAUCGUAACCAAUGAGGUACAUCCGAGGUGCGAUUAUUGCUAGUUGAAAACUGAUGUGCAGUCAGCGUCUGUUCUUGGAUUUAUCAUUCAAAACGAUCUUGAGUGGGACAAACAUGUA